AUUGAACGCUGGCGGCAUGCCUUACACAUGCAAGUCGAACGGCAGCGGGGGAGCUUGCUCCUGCCGGCGAGUGGCGAACGGGUGAGUAAUGCAUCGGAACGUGUCCUGUCGUGGGGGAUAACUGGCCGAAAGGUCAGCUAAUACCGCAUGAGACCCCGAGGGUGAAAGCGGGGGAUCGCAAGACCUCGCGCGACUGGAGCGGCCGAUGUCUGAUUAGCUGGUUGGUGGGGUAAAAGCUUACCAAGGCGACGAUCAGUAGCUGGUCUGAGAGGAUGAUCAGCCACAUUGGGACUGAGACACGGCCCAGACUCCUACGGGAGGCAGCAGUGGGGAAUUUUGGACAAUGGGGGGAAACCCGUGAUCCAGCCAUGCCGCGUGCGGGAUGAAGGCCUUCGGGUUGUAAAGCUCUGUCUUCAGGGACGGAUAAUGACGGUACCUGAGGAGGAA
This 447-nucleotide ribosomal RNA is filed under the name uncultured bacterium. RNAcentral describes it as "bacterial SSU rRNA". It matches the Rfam family "Bacterial small subunit ribosomal RNA", at positions 28 to 489 of the family's 1533-position model. The record is from RNAcentral.